AGAGUUUGAUCCUGGCUCAGGACGAACGCUGGCGGCGUGCUUAACACAUGCAAGUCGAACGGAAAGGCCCCUUCGGGGGUGCUCGAGUGGCGAACGGGUGAGUAACACGUGGGUGAUCUGCCCUGCACUUUGGGAUAAGCCUGGGAAACUGGGUCUAAUACCGGAUAGGACCAUGGCAUGCAUGUGCUGUGGUGGAAAGCUUUUGCGGUGUGGGAUGGGCCCGCGGCCUAUCAGCUUGUUGGUGGGGUGAUGGCCUACCAAGGCUUCGACGGGUAGCCGGCCUGAGAGGGUGUCCGGCCACACUGGGACUGAGAUACGGCCCAGACUCCUACGGGAGGCAGCAGUGGGGAAUAUUGCACAAUGGGCGCAAGCCUGAUGCAGCGACGCCGCGUGGGGGAUGACGGCCUUCGGGUUGUAAACCUCUUUCACCAUCGACGAAGCCGCAAGGUGACGGUAGGUGGAGAAGAAGCACCGGCCAACUACGUGCCAGCCGCCGCGGUAAUAC
This 505-nucleotide ribosomal RNA is filed under the name uncultured bacterium. RNAcentral describes it as "bacterial SSU rRNA". It matches the Rfam family "Bacterial small subunit ribosomal RNA", at positions 8 to 526 of the family's 1533-position model. The record is from RNAcentral.